This is a non-coding RNA of Paramuricea clavata, 219 nucleotides long. The record is from the annotation of a GenBank genome assembly. NCBI's taxonomy places the organism in Eukaryota, Metazoa, Cnidaria, Anthozoa, Malacalcyonacea, Plexauridae.
CAAGUACUCGUUUUCGUUCUCUUUUUGGCUAAGCUCUCUUGUGAUCAUGUUCUUCUCUCGUUCAAUUUGACGACUGCGCUCCUUCUGUCUCGCAUUUUCCUCCUCGGCCGAAAGACGCUGUCUCUCCAGUUCUAAGUUGUUGUUCUUUUCGCGUUCCAGAGCUGUAAGAGGAAGGCAUUAGUGAGCAGGGCCUUUUUUAACAUACAAGCUGGGGGGCAA